AUGGGUAAGUAUAUGCAUUUAGUUAAAUAAAGAACGUUUUCAGAUAUUUUGAUCUAAUAAAAUUAAAAUAAUCUUUUAGAUGAUCAACCUACUGGUAAUUUGGUGUCCAGUGAUGUCGUUCCAGGUACAAACCCUGUAUUUAAAGACAAACAUUUGUUGUAGAACUUGUUGGUGGACCAGUCUGUUGUUGGUAUUAGACAUGUACUGUUACCUGAGAUAAAAGCAGUAAUUGAAAAGGAGAAAGGAUCAGAUAACCCAAAUGAGGAAUCUUCCAGAGUGCAGAUGAUGAAGUUUUUGUGAGUGAGGUAUAAGAUCUGUCUCUUGUAAGACCUGUUUUAAGAAUUUAACCCAGGCAGUUGUUUACAACCAAGUUAGAUCUCAAGCAUAGCAAAGGAAUCGUACAAUCUGUGAAUUCAGUUUAAUUACUGAGAUCAAGGAUGAUGAAACAUUCAUUAUGAUUAUACAGAGCUACAAAGAGUUAUGUCGAGAAUCCAAAUUAUCAUAAUGAAUUGAGACGAGACAACAUCUGGGUGAAAAUUGAGGAAAAACGCAGAUAAAAGGCAUUUUUAUAUUAACGUUAUCCAAUGUUUUUAUCAAAUCGUCACAUAGAUAAUAUUUCUCUACGCAUAAUACUAAAAUUAAAAAGGUCAGGUUAAAACAAUUUUAAUUAUCCAUCGCGUGUGAAAAACAGUGCUUCGCAUGGCUUCGGCUUCGGCGCGCUUCGCUCAAGUGCUCAACAUGCUUUAAAUUUUUGCGAAGCGCCAAAAUGUCAUUGGAUUAAUUACAUGUAUUUUGAUUCUUCGCGUUACUUCGCUUUAAUCCGUGGGUCUGCAUUUUUAUACAUAGAUACCAUUGAUCCAAUUCACAUUUUUUCGCCGCGCUUCGAAUAAGUUCGCGACAAA
Long non-coding RNA from Sitophilus oryzae (rice weevil), 902 nucleotides. RefSeq lists it as uncharacterized. The transcript is spliced from 3 exons. Lineage: Eukaryota; Metazoa; Arthropoda; Insecta; Coleoptera; Curculionidae. The record is from RefSeq and is a predicted model, not a curated record.